Molecule: microRNA, 20 nt
Filed under: Ovis aries (sheep)
Lineage: Eukaryota; Metazoa; Chordata; Mammalia; Artiodactyla; Bovidae
Description: oar-miR-758-3p
Gene: oar-miR-758-3p
Source: miRBase by way of RNAcentral
UUUGUGACCUGGUCCACUAA